RNAcentral lists this long non-coding RNA (4179 nucleotides) under Triticum aestivum (bread wheat). Its description in RNAcentral is "long non-coding RNA (TAES_LNC020713)". Lineage: Eukaryota; Viridiplantae; Streptophyta; Magnoliopsida; Poales; Poaceae. The record is from RNAcentral.
AUCCACCCACCCACCCGCCGCGGGCCUCACUCUCCCAUCGCACCCCCCCUCCUGCAACCCUAACUCAGAUCCCAUCGAACACCUCCUCCUCCCGCAAUCCUAACUCUGAUCUCCUUGCCGCCACCAUCUUCUCGUCCCCAUCUACUCGCCGCCGCCACCUACGGCGCCGGACACGACGUCCCGCACCGAGCCCAACAAACCCUCGCGCGCCCCAGCCCUUGUUCGCCGACGCGGCCAUGGCAGGAUCCUCCCUCCUCAAGCCAGCCCGAUCCUCCCCUCGAUCUCGUCGGAGCUAGCGGAGAUUGGGCCGCGGCAAUUCCCCUCCCCACCCAGCCAUAAAGCCAUGCCCAAAUCAAGCCUCCCCCUCCUCAGCCGCACCCACCCCCAUCCCCACUCCAAUCGCGCCGCCUGCCCUCGUCGACCACUCCUCCGCCCCGCCGAGUCACCGCACACUGUUGAGUGAGCUCGUUUCUCGUGUCACCCAAAGUCGCGGAUGGCCCUAAUUAAUUCCCCCCAAUUCGGUCCCCUCGUAGGCCGCGGUGCCGUCGCCGUGGAUGGGAUGUGCGGCGGCCGUCCCCCCAGCGUCAAACUCCUGCAGAUGGAGACGGCCUGCGGCGCCCUCAUGCACGAGCUUCAGGUGUGCCCGCGGUCUGCCAGCGACCAGGACGAUGCCGACGGCCUCCACAGUUGCUCCUUCUUAACAUUCGCGCGCCAGGAGAGGAGCCUCCGACCCCGACGCCAUGGAAGGUCCCCUCCCAUCUCCUCUCUCUGCUCGUUUCCAGAAAGGACAUCAUUUGUGCUAGCGAGUUGCCGCAGGAGAACAAAUCACGUCCUGCACUUCCUCCUAGUCUCCCAAGGCUUCUUGAUAUGUACACUACCAUUUUUAGAGGCUUAAUAGGACUGGUUGCUGCUCAAGCCACUUAUGGCCAAGGGGAGAACAUUGAGUUCAUGCUCCAAGAGCUUAAGAAUGAAGUCUUAUAUUAAGUUACUGACCCUAACUGUAAGACUAAAUGCAUGUGGAGACGCAUGAUUAAUGUUGGGACACCCAUUACUUACAUGGGACUAGAUUAUGCAUUUCAUAUGGGCAUGUUCGAUUAAUUAGGAUGCAAGUAUGUAACAGGAAUCCUAUCUGUGAGCUAGGUUUCUUUGCUUUGCUUUUCCUGUGAGUAGUACGUAUAUCUUAAUUAGUAUAGUAGCUUGUGGGCUAAUGGAGAAGUACGGUGGACGUGGCAACCAUAUAGGUGUCUAUCCUUUUGGUGAGCACCUGACAUAAUAACAGAGUGCUGCCUAAGCUAAUUACCUGGGCCAUUGCAACUGAUUGAGUGUCAUUGCAGAUGCAUAUUCUAGUUGAGAUGGUGACUUAACUAGACCACAUCUGCAUGCUUGUUACCAGGGAAGGCAUGAUCCUGUCACUAACACUGUCCAUUACCCCAUCUAUCUACAGCCAAGAAACUACAUAGCAGUUUACUAAAUUGAAAAAUUCUUAGACCGUUCGAUAAUUCAGCAAAUUCAGAUCCAAAGAAGCAGUUCAGUAAUUUAGUAAACUGAAUAAUUAUUAGACCGUUCAGAAAAACUAAGAUCGUUGAACGCUAGACCGUUCAAUAAUUCAGCAAAUUCAGACCCAAAGAACCAUUCAUGCAUUUACACAAUCAUGGUUUCCUCUGCUGUUUGUAAUUGUUCUAGUUAAUUAUGCUAGUAGAUAUCGUGUGGGAUCUGUAGCUGGUGUCUGUUGUGUCAUGUCCUCUUUGACGAGUUCAUUCAUUGAAAAAUAUUUCUUGAUGAGCUGCUUUCUGUCCAAAUGCAUACUAUUAUUAAGUCACGAUCAGUUAGCAAAUUUACAUGUACGCUCCAUUGUUUGUUAAGGUUUAGUAGCUAUUGUGCAAAAUUGGUAGUGAUUCUAUCGGUGAACAAGUAGGGUAAAUAUGUCACUGUAAAUCUGUAAAAUAGCUUCUUUAUAUUUUUGUCUCGCAUGUUCAGUGUUGUGUGUCUGGCAUGUUCAUAGAGCCACUUGUGGAGUGAGAUGAGAAUAACAAUUAUAAUUCUGUAAUGUUUGAUCGUAUAUACAUAUGCAAAAGUUGCUUGUGCAUUAUCGCUAGUUUUGGUUGCUGCUUUACUAAUAACUAUGAACACAAUAGUAUGUUUGUGAUCUUAUUGACUUGCAACUUUACCAUUUACAGAACCAUCAUCUUAUUUUAUUUUUUUCAUGUACAACUCGCCAAAAGAAGGUUGUGAAGAUAUUCCCAUGCCAGACAUUUGGAUCUCUUUGCCCCAUUGUGCAAUGUUGGUUGGAUGGCAGGGCCAGCUCUAAAUGUUGGUUGGAUGCAAGAGAGGAACUGUACUUGAUCCUCUGCUCGGCCAGCCCGUGGACGACCACUACUUCCUCGAGAAAGACCGGCAUCGCUAUCGACGUAAUUCACCACUCCCUGCACCAUGAACUAUGCUUUUUUUUUCGGGUUGCUCUCCCCAGUUGUGAAUGUUGUGCGUCAUGUUCUUGCUAAAUGCAAGGGAUUGUGUUGUCUAGUCAUCUGCAUUUACGGGAUAGCUUGUGGGGCCAUCAAUUGGGUUCAUUUUUUAAUUAGAUUGACUUAUUAUACAUCCCCAGUUUUUAUUGCUGGGUUAUUUGGUGAAAAGAACUGUUUUCCUGUGCACACGUCAUGGCACUCGCAGAGUGUUGCCAAUAAGUAGAUGAUGUAUCCGUCACUUUGACAUCUUUCUAUACUUUAGAACUACCACUUAUCAUGUUGCUUAUUUCUGAUGCUUUCUAAGUUGGUAUUAUAUUUCAGGAGUACUUGAUUCCCUUUUCAAAUUGUUGUUGCCAUGUGGUUGUCCUUCCCGUUAGUUUUUAAGAUUAUGGCUUAAUAUGUUGUCUCAUGCUGUUGAUUUCACUUGUGCACAAUCUAUUGGCUAAUCUUGACAAGUUUUGCUCUGCUGACUGCCCAUCCUGCUGCUCUUUGUGGUAAGAGUCCUUGAGUGCUGAAGUUCAUGUCUCGACUUGACUGUGCUUACGAUUAUAGGUUUACUCAAGUUAUACCAAGGGCAGUAAACCAUACAGCAUUCCUUUGUUUGUACUUGCUAGUAUUAAAUUUAUGCUCCUCGGGAAGUGCUGGUACUAGAUAUACCAAGCACCAACCAGACAAGGCUACAGUAUAGCUGAUCAGGCUUGCACUGCCCUGAGUGAUGCAAACCUAUAGUGGUUCUUUUAUAGUUCCUUAAUCUAAUGACUGAUUUCUAGUCUCCCUAUAUAUAUAAUAUAUAUAUAUAUAAAUAAUAUAAUAUAAUAAUAAUAAUAAUAAAGCACGGAUUGACUCCAUGGAUUCAUCGUCACAAUACGCUUCUUCCCGUAAGUUUAUGCUUUCACUUUGAAUUUAAAACAUAUACGCGAGGUGGUACUAAAAAAGUGUUCAUUGGCCGCGUACGUCAAUUCGUAUAAGUCGCUGUUUUUAGUCCCUUCGGCUCGCUCGACUGGGUCGUGUUGAUCGUUCCUGUCAACCGCGUGAUGAUUGAACUGGGUCUGGUCAAAAGAAAAAAACUAUGCAAAAAAUACUUCACGUGAGUUUCGAACUCCCAACCAAGGCCCUCCAUCCGGAAAGACGACGCCAACUCAGCUGGUCUGUUUUGUUCUGCAAAAUUGAGUCCCUGUAGGUACAAUAGUCCAACAUCGCUUCUUUGCACUCUAUCUUAUCGACUUUUAUACAUGCAGACUCAGCUGGUCGUAGCAGAAGUCAAUAAACAGAAGAUGGAAACCGGCAAAGAUGCAGAUAGAUGGUGGACAUAUGAGAGAGGUGAUGGGAUAAAGAACGACUGUCGGCGACACUUGGCCAGAAGAAGAGAGCUAAGAACGAGGGGGUUCGGAGAGCGCCGCAGCUUGACUGCGGUCCUCAUGGCUCCUAAUAAUCCAUCAGCUGCUAGCGGCGCUACUAUAGCUAAUUGUGAUUUGCAGUUUCUAUCAGCCUUUUGUGUAUGCAGUUUCCCCGUUAUUUUCUAAAAACUUGUCUAUGAUAAUUUCUAACAUACAAUAAUUGUGAAUUUGUGAUAGAUAAUUGGUUUAAAUUAUACUUUACACACUUUUCUGUAACUUAAAGUCUGCAUUUUUCAGAUGUACAGUACUAUUACAUAUCUAACGUACAUAAUGAACUCUUUAUAGGUCUCUGUUGUCCCAUAUGCCCAUUUGAAAUUUUA